RNAcentral lists this ribosomal RNA (484 nucleotides) under uncultured bacterium. Its description in RNAcentral is "partial 16S ribosomal RNA". It matches the Rfam family "Bacterial small subunit ribosomal RNA", at positions 30 to 507 of the family's 1533-position model. The record is from RNAcentral.
AUUGAACGCUGGCGGCAGGCCUAACACAUGCAAGUCGAGCGGAUGAAGGGAGCUUGCUCCUGGAUUCAGCGGCGGACGGGUGAGUAAUGCCUAGGAAUCUGCCUGGUAGUGGGGGAUAACGUCCGGAAACGGGCGCUAAUACCGCAUACGUCCUGAGGGAGAAAGUGGGGGAUCUUCGGACCUCACGCUAUCAGAUGAGCCUAGGUCGGAUUAGCUAGUUGGUGGGGUAAAGGCCUACCAAGGCGACGAUCCGUAACUGGUCUGAGAGGAUGAUCAGUCACACUGGAACUGAGACACGGUCCAGACUCCUACGGGAGGCGGCAGUGGGGAAUAUUGGACAAUGGGCGAAAGCCUGAUCCAGCCAUGCCGCGUGUGUGAAGAAGGUCUUCGGAUUGUAAAGCACUUUAAGUUGGGAGGAAGGGCAGUAAGUUAAUAGCUUGCUGUUUUGACGUUACCAACAGAAUAAGCACCGGCUAACUUCGUG